GACGAACGCUGGCGGCGUGCUUAACACAUGCAAGUCGAACGAGAAGAGAUGAGAAGCUUGCUUCUUAUCAAUUCGAGUGGCAAACGGGUGAGUAACGCGUAAGCAACCUGCCCUUCAGAUGGGGACAACAGCUGGAAACGGCUGCUAAUACCGAAUACGUUCUUUUUGUCGCAUGGCAGAGAGAAGAAAGGGAGGCUCUUCGGAGCUUUCGCUGAAGGAGGGGCUUGCGUCUGAUUAGGUAGUUGGUGGGGUAACGGCCCACCAAGCCGACGAUCAGUAGCCGACCUGAGAGGGUGACCGGCCACAUUGGGACUGAGACACGGCCCAA
Molecule: ribosomal RNA, 328 nt
Filed under: uncultured bacterium
Lineage: Bacteria
Description: bacterial SSU rRNA
Rfam family: Bacterial small subunit ribosomal RNA
Source: RNAcentral